Cylas formicarius (sweet potato weevil) is the source of this 777-nucleotide long non-coding RNA. RefSeq lists it as uncharacterized. The transcript is spliced from 4 exons. NCBI's taxonomy places the organism in Eukaryota, Metazoa, Arthropoda, Insecta, Coleoptera, Brentidae. The record is from RefSeq and is a predicted model, not a curated record.
CGAUUUUGAGUUUAACGCCGGCGACAUCGUGGCCGGCCAUGAAUUCCGUUUGGUUUUUCUCCUUUUGAAAUCUUGAUUCCGUUACAACCGUCUCCGGCAGCAAAAUCCAACCGCACACAAACAAAAUCCAACUUUACCAUGAUGUGACGCUUCGAAAGAAAAUCGGACUCAAUUUUCACCAUCGGUCGGAUCCUGCUGCUCCAAAAUGCAUACGUUUCAAUCCCACCCAUAAAAGUUCGAAACAAAAUGUUCGGAGUUUUUUUUUAAAUCACGGAGCAGCAGGAUUUCGACUGAAGAAACGCCCUUUUGGAAAAAACGACUCGGUCUGACAACAGCUUCUAAUAAAAAAACAAAGAAUGGAGAACAAAAUGAAACAAACCUCGAAAUAAUAAAUGCGAACACGAACCGAAAGAAGGAAGAUAUCAGAUAUGGGCGUCGGUGAACAAUAAACGGAUAAUUCAGUAUGACAAAGGCUCGGCCGUCAAGCGUGACAUUUUCGCAGCUCGGAAGCAUCGAAAAAACGACAGACAAAAAAAUGGACGUCACCUGAUACGUUCGGAUUUGUUACCUGUCCGGGAAGUGGUUGUUAUUUGUAGCUUCGUUGACUUUCUGAUGAGUAAAACAGAUAUUAUUCUUACCGGGCCCGCCCACCACAAAAACCAGGAAAUGUCCACCGUCGGAUACCGAGAAAAAAUUCACCCCUAAAAACCGGGCACCUCUUCGUCGACUACGGGCGUCCCCCCCCGCCCCUUCGCCGACUCCUACCCCGGCGAAAAA